Molecule: ribosomal RNA, 443 nt
Filed under: uncultured bacterium
Lineage: Bacteria
Description: partial 16S ribosomal RNA
Rfam family: Bacterial small subunit ribosomal RNA
Source: RNAcentral
CCUACGGGUGGCAGCAGUGGGGAAUAUUGGGCAAUGGGCGCAAGCCUGACCCAGCAACGCCGCGUGAAGGAAGAAGGCUUUCGGGUUGUAAACUUCUUUUCUCAGGGACGAAGCAAGUGACGGUACCUGAGGAAUAAGCCACGGCUAACUACGUGCCAGCAGCCGCGGUAAUACGUAGGUGGCAAGCGUUAUCCGGAUUUACUGGGUGUAAGGGGCGUGUAGGCGGGGACGCAAGUCAGAUGUGAAACCCACGGGCUCAACCUGUGGCCUGCAUUUGAAACUGUGUGUCUGGAGGGCUGGAGAGGGAGACGGAAUUCCGAGUGUAGCGGGGAAAUGCGUAGAUAUUAGGAGGAACACCAGUGGCGAAGGCGGUCUGCUGGACAGCAACUGACGCUGAGGCGCGAAAGCGUGGGGAGCAAACAGGAUUAGAUACCCUAGUAGUC